UUGGAGGGCAAGUCUGGUGCCAGCAGCCGCGGUAAUUCCAGCUCCAAUAGCGUAUAUUAAAGUUGUUGCAGUUAAAAAGCUCGUAGUUGAAUUUCGGGAUCAAAUUGUCGGUCGUGCCUCGGUACGCACUGGUAUUAUUGGUUCCUACCUUCUGAAGAACCGCGAUGUCAUUAAUUUGGUGUCGUGGGGAAUCAGGACUGUUACUUUGAAAAAAUUAGAGUGUUUAAAGCAGGCUUACGCUUGAAUACAUUAGCAUGGAAUAAUGAAAUAGGACGUUUGAUUCUAUUUUGUUGGUUUCUAGGAUUGACGUAAUGAUUAAUAGGGAUAGUUGGGGGCAUUAGUAUUCAAUUGUCAGAGGUGAAAUUCUUGGAUUUAUUGAAGACUUACUACUGCGAAAGCAUUUGCCAAGGAUGUUUUCAUUAAUCAAGAACGAAAGUUAGGGGAUCGAAGACGAUCAGAUACCGUCGUAGUCUUAACCAUAAACUAUGCCGACUAGGGAUCGGAUGAUGUUAAUUUUUUAAUGACUCAUUCGGCGCCUUACGGGAAAC
RNAcentral lists this ribosomal RNA (548 nucleotides) under uncultured Glomeromycotina. Its description in RNAcentral is "SSU rRNA". It matches the Rfam family "Eukaryotic small subunit ribosomal RNA", at positions 548 to 1098 of the family's 1831-position model. Lineage: Eukaryota; Fungi; Glomeromycota. The record is from RNAcentral.